ACAAAUAAUGUGUAGGAUAGGUGGGAGACUUCGAAGCUGUGUCGCCAGGCAUGGUGGAGUCGUUGUUGAAAUACCACCCUUAUUUUAUCUGAUGCCUAAUCCCUCACAGGAGACAUUGUGUGGUGGGUAGUUUGACUGGGGUGGUCGCCUCCAAAAGAGUAACGGAGGCUUUCAAAGGUUCCCUCAGUACGCUUGGUAACCGUACGCAGAGCGCAAUAGCAUAAGGGAGCUUGACUGUGAGACCUACAAGUCGAUCAGGGUCGAAAGACGGAUAUAGUGAUCCGGUGGUUCCGCAUGGAAGGGCCAUCGCUCAAAGGAUAAAAGGUACGCCGGGGAUAACAGGCUGAUCUCCCCCAAGAGCUCACAUCGACGGG
Molecule: ribosomal RNA, 374 nt
Filed under: Alexandrium margalefii
Lineage: Eukaryota; Dinophyceae; Gonyaulacales; Pyrocystaceae
Description: partial Bacterial large subunit ribosomal RNA
Rfam family: Bacterial large subunit ribosomal RNA
Source: RNAcentral